GAAAAGCCCAGUGAUUCUUGAUGACAGACUCUAAUUUAAUUGUUCUAAUUACAGCUUAUCAUGGCAGCAGCAUUACUCAACACAGCUGAAGGCUGAAGCACACGCUCCUUUGACAGGAAGAGAUGCUACCAGAGACUCUUUCCACCGUUCUGCUGUUAUGAAGCUCAUUGUGAUGGAAUUUAAAGUGACGUCAGCCCUCAGACCAGAGAGCAGUGAGACAAAGACAACAAGCUGGCAAAAACAAGAAGCAACGGGAAAGGACAGUUCUCCAGUCAGGUGAGUUCUCAAAGCUGCAGUAGCAUGAAACCCCGAUGACAGACGCUGAAGUCUGAGGUUGGAAUGCAAGAAAAUCUGAAAAAGUUGAGGAGGUGUGAGCAGAGCUGCAGCUUUUCAAAAGGAAGUGAGUGAAAAUCCACAAACAGAGGAAGAACAGGGACAUGGAUGGACAGACAGGGAGACACAGGCAGUGUUGUUACUGUCCACUCAGGCAGGUAAUGAAGCACAAAACUGCCCGGCUGCAUCGGAACAAAUGGGAUAACGAGUAAAGAGAGAGAGAAACAAAAAAGAACAGAACACAGGAACACACAGUCAGGAGUAAACCGACAAAAACACGACUAGAGUCGAGGCUUUAGAGGAUUCUCUCUCUCGCCUCAUAACUCCUGCUGCUGUGUGUCGUAAGAAGAGGCUGAACGGGUCG
Poecilia latipinna (sailfin molly) is the source of this 697-nucleotide long non-coding RNA. RefSeq lists it as uncharacterized. The transcript is spliced from 4 exons. Lineage: Eukaryota; Metazoa; Chordata; Actinopteri; Cyprinodontiformes; Poeciliidae. The record is from RefSeq and is a predicted model, not a curated record.